UAAAAGCAGAGCGGUCGGGAGUAGUAACACAGAGAGAGGGAGGGAGAGAGAGAGAGGAGGUCGAGAUCGCAUCGCACGCGGGGAAAGGAACAGCUUAAUAUUCGUAAUAAACAUCACUGUCGGGCUCGGCUUUUUGCUGGCCAUGAAGGUCGCGUGCUGGAUGUUGGCGCUGGCUCUGUGCGCUCUCGCGCUCCCCACGCUCUGCCUGGGCGUUCUGCCGUGGAGAGGCAGGCACAGGAAGUGGCACGUGACUAAGCAACGGAGACCCAACAUCAUGAAUCGACUGCCCACGUCUUAGAGAAUUAUAUAUGAGACGUGUGUGUCUGUGUGUGUCUGUCUGUGUGUGUCUGUGUGUGUGUCUGUCUGUGUGUCUGU
Molecule: long non-coding RNA, 375 nt
Organism: Petromyzon marinus (sea lamprey)
Lineage: Eukaryota; Metazoa; Chordata; Hyperoartia; Petromyzontiformes; Petromyzontidae
Source: RefSeq, a predicted model, not a curated record